GUCUACUUGAAGCUGAAAAUGUUGAUAGAAGUGUAAUUGUGGCAGUACCUAAAAAAGCCGGUGUGUAGAAACAAAAUUGUCACUGGCUAGUUUUGUGUGCUCUUACAAGAACUUGAAACAACAGUGGUGAAGUGGGACUGCUUCAGAGAGAUGUUAAAACUGAGUGCAUCUGCUCUGAUUAUGACAUUAAUACUAAAGCCAAACCAUGGUAACUGCUAAUCCACUGUAUCUAGAAGAGCUCUUGGAAGGACAAAGGAUUAUCACUUUCUGCUGUUUGAAGUGUGAUCUGUGUGCAAUCUUGGGAGUUGUGCUGGCAAAACUGUCAAAGGGCACGGUCAGUGUUUAAGAAAGACAAGCCCUUGCACUUUGCCUGGAGUAGGUGCC
RNAcentral lists this long non-coding RNA (384 nucleotides) under Gallus gallus (chicken). Lineage: Eukaryota; Metazoa; Chordata; Aves; Galliformes; Phasianidae. The record is from RNAcentral.